This is a transfer RNA of Prevotella sp. CAG:891, 88 nucleotides long. It matches the Rfam family "tRNA". From Rfam's summary of the family: Transfer RNA (tRNA) molecules are approximately 80 nucleotides in length. Their secondary structure includes four short double-helical elements and three loops (D, anti-codon, and T loops). Lineage: Bacteria; Pseudomonadati; Bacteroidota; Bacteroidia; Bacteroidales; Prevotellaceae. The record is from Rfam.
GGAAAGGUGCUCGAGUGGUUGAAGAGGCACGCCUGGAAAGCGUGUAAACGCCUAAAGCGUUUCGGGGGUUCGAAUCCCCCUCUUUCCG